This 495-nucleotide ribosomal RNA is filed under the name uncultured archaeon. RNAcentral's name for it is "bacterial SSU rRNA". It matches the Rfam family "Archaeal small subunit ribosomal RNA", at positions 91 to 578 of the family's 1478-position model. The record is from RNAcentral.
CAGUAACACGUAGUUAAUCUACCCUAUAGUGGGGCAUACCCACGGGAAACUGUGGCUAAUUCCCCGUAGGCCACGCGGACUGGAAUGUUGCGUGACCCAAAGACGUGUGAGGCUAUGAAAGCACGAUCGCUAUAGGAUGAGACUGCGGAGGAUUAUGGUUGUUGGUGGGGUAACGGCCCACCAAGCCUUUGAUCCGUACGGGCCGUGAGAGCGGGAGCCCGGAGAUGGGAACUGAGACACUGUCCCAAGCCCUACGGGGUGCAGCAGGCGCGAAAUCUCCGCAAUGCACGCAAGUGUGACGGGGCCAUCCCGAGUGCCUUCGGGCUUUUCUAUAGUGUAAGAAGCUAUAGGAAUAAGGGGAGGGCAAGGCUGGUGCCAGCCGCCGCGGUAAAACCAGCUCCUCAAGUGAUUCGGACUUUUACUGGGCCUAAAGCGUCCGUAGCCGGGCCUGCAAGUCUUCGGUUAAAUCCGGCAGCUUAACUGUCGGCCCGCUGG